GAUGAAGAACGUAGCGAAAUGCGAUACUUGGUGUGAAUUGCAGAAUCCCGUGAACCAUCGAGUCUUUGAACGCAAGUUGCGCCCGAAGCCAUUAGGCCGAGGGCACGCCUGCCUGGGCGUCACACGUCGUUGCCCCCCCAUCUACUCCUUCGGGAUUGCAGGGGGCGGAUGAUGGCCUCCCGUGCGCCUCGUCGCGCGGUUGGCAUAAAUGCCAAGUCCUCGGCGACGCACGCCACGACAAUCGGUGGUUGCGAAACCUCGGUUGCCCGUCGUGUGCGGUCGUCGCGCAUCGAGGGCUCGAAAAAAUUGCCGGGCUCCGGCUCGGCUUUCAACGCGACCCCAGGUCAGGCGGGGUUACCCGCUGAAUUUAAGCAUAUCAAUAAGCGGAGGA
RNAcentral lists this unclassified non-coding RNA (391 nucleotides) under soil metagenome. Its description in RNAcentral is "partial contains 5.8S ribosomal RNA, internal transcribed spacer 2, and large subunit ribosomal RNA". The stretch from base 1 to 122 matches the Rfam family "5.8S ribosomal RNA", at positions 35 to 154 of the family's 154-position model. The record is from RNAcentral.